Myodes glareolus (Bank vole) is the source of this 1173-nucleotide non-coding RNA. NCBI's taxonomy places the organism in Eukaryota, Metazoa, Chordata, Mammalia, Rodentia, Cricetidae. The record is from RefSeq and is a predicted model, not a curated record.
UGCAAAAUUUCGAAGAUUUUAAAUUUAGCUCCAAAAUAAAUGAAUAAAUAACUAGAUGAAUAAAUAAACAGCUUUGCAUAGUUAUGGUGCACACUUUUACUUAAUUCUUUGUAUACUUAUUGUAGUCUAUGAUUCAAGGGUGCAAAACUUGAAAGGUUCUGUGAAUGGUGUCAUCCACCUAAAAAUGGUAAGAAUCAUUUUUCAAGAGGCACAUGUCUGUUUUAUCCAGCACCACUAUCUGUGUAUCCCAACGGGGUUCUGAGUAGUCCCAGCUGAAAUGACCACUCCCAUGGUGUGCAGUAUAUACAACCAUGUACAGUGGUCAAGAUGAGGUGCUUUGUGGGUCCAAUUCCUCCUGAAAGAUGUUCUAUUGCAUCAUAAAUCAUUCUCCUGGGGAUCAUUUUGUCUUUUGGCUGUCCAGUAACCACAAUCGUUUUUUCUUCAAGUUCAACAUUCCUAAGACCUAAGGAUAAUGUAAUUUCUUGAGGUCUGUUGCUUCAAUAGUCUGAUACCCCAGGAAGGACAAAAGCAUCUUUGUAGAAUAUCUUAAUUUCUUCGAGGCCUAUAAUAAUAGCUCAUUGUUUCUUAUGUUGUGUGAUCAAGUUAAUUCUUCAUCAUAACAAAAAGCUUUGAAAAUUAAACACACAUAAACUCAGGCAAGAGUUUAGCUCCGGGAAAGACUGGUCCAUGCCUGCCCCCACAAACAGAACAUAAAUUAUAGUAGGUGGUGGAUGCUGAGUCAUCUUAAGUUGGCAUUUUCAGGGGAGCAUAUGCAGUGAAGUUUUCUAUUUUAUGGGUAAUUAAAAUUUUUUACAUAUUUUUGAACCUUCUAUAUCUUAGUUGGAAACUCUAGGAAAAUGGGGUCCUGAGAAAAGCAGGCCUCUCUCCUAGAAGGGCUCACCCUGGAGAAGGAAGGGCAAGUGUUAUAAGGAGAGGACAAAUAAAAGUCCCUGCCUGCCAGUUGCCAGGCUCUGCUGCUGGGCUCAGCCAGCUCUUAUUCUGAAGAGAGUUCUUACUCCCUUGUCCUCUAAAAUGAAACUCUUGGCUGCUCUCUGUGCUGUGUGUUCUUCACUUUGGAAUGCAGAAUAAACAAGACUGAAGCUAGAGUUGAGACCAGGGGGACUGGAGACCUGCUGCAGGACAUCUGGUGCUCAAUACAGAACAUUUCCAAAG